UCCGAUGUGGUCUAGUGGUUAGGAUUUCCGCCUCUCAUAGCAAGAGCUGAUGAACGCGGAAGGCCGGGGUUCAAUUCCCCGCAUCGGAA
Molecule: transfer RNA, 89 nt
Filed under: Heterodermia speciosa
Lineage: Eukaryota; Fungi; Ascomycota; Lecanoromycetes; Caliciales; Physciaceae
Rfam family: tRNA
About the family: Transfer RNA (tRNA) molecules are approximately 80 nucleotides in length.
Source: Rfam by way of RNAcentral